RNAcentral lists this small nucleolar RNA (81 nucleotides) under Marmota marmota marmota (Alpine marmot). The record is from RNAcentral. Lineage: Eukaryota; Metazoa; Chordata; Mammalia; Rodentia; Sciuridae.
AUGGUCAUAUGAUGAAUAGAAUCAAAUCACCAUCUGUCAGAUGAGUUCAUGAUGGAUUUGCUUUUAUCUUAUAAGGAUCAU